Molecule: ribosomal RNA, 519 nt
Filed under: uncultured eukaryote
Lineage: Eukaryota
Description: SSU rRNA
Rfam family: Eukaryotic small subunit ribosomal RNA
Source: RNAcentral
AGGGCACCACCAGGAGUGGAGCCUGCGGCUUAAUUUGACCCAACACGGGAAAACUCACCCGGCCCGGACACUGGAAGGAUUGACAGAUUGAGAGCUCUUUCUUGAUUCAGUGGGUGGUGGUGCAUGGCCUUUCUUAGUUGGUGGAGUGAUUUGUCUGGUUAAUUCCGAUAACGAGCGAGACUCUAGCCUACUAAAUAGAUCGUCGGCUUACAAACGCCGGCGAGACUUCUUAGAGGGACAGGCGGUGAUUCAACCGCACGAAACAGAGCAAUAACAGGUCUGUGAUGCCCUUAGAUGUCCGGGGCCGCACGCGCGCUACACUGAAGUGAUCAGCGUGCUUUUUCAACCUACUCUGUCAAGAGUGGGGAACCCAAUGAACCUUCUUCGUGAUUGGGAUAGGGGAUUGUAAUUAUUCCCCUUGAACGAGGAAUUCCCAGUAAGCGCGAGUCAUAAGCUCGCGUUGAUUACGUCCCUGCCCUUUGUACACACCGCCCGUCGCUACUACCGAUUGAAUGUUUU